RNAcentral lists this long non-coding RNA (227 nucleotides) under Elaeis guineensis (African oil palm). RNAcentral's name for it is "long non-coding RNA (EGUI_LNC032760)". The record is from RNAcentral. Lineage: Eukaryota; Viridiplantae; Streptophyta; Magnoliopsida; Arecales; Arecaceae.
CCAAACUAUUAUGUUUGUUGAUCCCUUUUUGAUUCCUAACUAAUUAUUCUCUUCCCCUUAUAAUUCACAUCUUUAGAUGAAUCACCCUUUGGAGAAGGCAAGUUAAUACAAACAUGAGUUGGAUUCAUCUGAAGAUUGCCACUUGACAUAUCACCUUGCACAUGCUCUAAAAUGUGAUGGAGUUGCAUGACAUGUUAAGAAUGGGAGGUAGGAGUUUUAUCCUUGUC